Molecule: long non-coding RNA, 199 nt
Filed under: Hordeum vulgare
Lineage: Eukaryota; Viridiplantae; Streptophyta; Magnoliopsida; Poales; Poaceae
Description: long non-coding RNA (HVUL_LNC013119)
Source: RNAcentral
AACCGCUCAUGUGGUGACAGGGGGCUAUUGGUAUCUUCCAUGUUAGGCGUGUUAUCCUCGACAUGUGUUUAUUCACUGUCAUUCAUGAGAAAGGGGCCGGUAAUUGGAAUGCCUAGUUCCACGCUUAAAUCGAAAACAUAACUGUAAAACAAGACUCCCCACGGAUUGAUGUUAGUAUGGACGGUACCCGAGGAUUCGG